GUGCGUAACUUACGGGUAUUUAGCUAAGCUGUUGUGCUGCGUCAUCGACUCAUCACUCGUUACUUUGUCUUACUGGAUUUUUGUAAAGGGAUAUAUGGCGGUGGUCUCUUUUUCUCUUCUCUCCUUUUUCUCUUCUCUUCUUUCUUUCUUUCUUUCUUUUUCUUUUUUUUUCAUCCUCUUGGAAGCUGAUCUAGAGCUAGUUGCGGAUUAGGCGCAUAAGACCAAACCUCUGGAAAAUGGUGUGAACAGGCUUUUAAAUUUUGUUUGCGCUGGUGUUUCAUCAGGAGCAAAGAACACAUUGAGAUUCUUUGAUUUCCACGAGAACCUGGCCAAACUUCCAAGUUGGCUGGUUAUGUCUCUGAAAUAUGUUCCACAGAACGCCGCUUGACAUGAAAACUUUAUGUGCUGGGAGUAAUAUUUUUCGGCUGGAAAUAUUAUCAGCUCCCUCAGUAUUUUACGGUGUUCUUGGACCAAAUCUGCCAAUCCUCACCAGCUGUUAAUGGCUGCGAUGCUUUACAUAUAUAUCUAUUGAAGUAUUUUGGAUUUUGUAAAUGAAUGCGAGGAGGCUCUGUGCACAGCCAAUGUAUGUACUGUACUUGCACAUAAAUUUCCCGAGCUCUCUCUAUAGUAAUCUACAAGCAUUUAAUAUUAGCUAUUUUGUAAGGCGUACAGAGAAAAAUGCAGGGAAUAAAAUUUUUUAUUUCAAUGC
This 709-nucleotide small RNA is filed under the name Histoplasma capsulatum var. duboisii H88. RNAcentral describes it as "Histoplasma capsulatum H88 hypothetical RNA". The record is from RNAcentral. Lineage: Eukaryota; Fungi; Ascomycota; Eurotiomycetes; Onygenales; Ajellomycetaceae.